Molecule: ribosomal RNA, 492 nt
Filed under: uncultured bacterium
Lineage: Bacteria
Description: partial 16S ribosomal RNA
Rfam family: Bacterial small subunit ribosomal RNA
Source: RNAcentral
AGUGAACGCUGGCGGUAGGCCUAACACAUGCAAGUCGAACGGCAGCACAGUAAGAGCUUGCUCUUACGGGUGGCGAGUGGCGGACGGGCGAGGAAUACAUCGGAAUCUACUUUUUCGUGGGGGAUAACGUAGGGAAACUUACGCUAAUACCGCAUACGACCUACGGGUGAAAGCAGGGGAUCUUCGGACCUUGCGCGAUUGAAUGAGCCGAUGUCGGAUUAGCUAGUUGGCGGGGUAAAGGCCCACCAAGGCGACGAUCCGUAGCUGGUCUGAGAGGAUGAUAAGCCACACUGGAACUGAGACACGGUCCAGACUCCUACGGGAGGCAGCAGUGGGGAAUAUUGGACAGUGGGCGCAAGCCUGAUCCAGCCAUACCGCGUGGGUGAAGAAGGCCUUCGGGUUGUAAAGCCCUUUUGUUGGGAAAGAAAAGCAGCAGGUUAAUACCCCGCUGUUCUGACGGUACCCAAAGAAUAAGCACCGGCUAACUUCGUG